CCUUUAUCUUUUGAGUAUAGGAUUCCAAACAUAUUCAGGAGUCUUUUCAGAAAAAAGUUCACUUCCUUUUUACAGCAGUUUAUUGGAAAACACAUAUUUUCUGUCUUCCUUUUAUGCUGUUACAGGUUCUACAUUGAAUGGAAAGUUUGUUUCAAAAUAAUUCCAUUAAUUAGUAGAGAGUGUUGAUCACUGAUUAAACGAUUGUGAUUUAUCUGCUUUUGUUCACAGGUAGAUUUGCUACAGCUCUUUCAUUACUGGCUUUCUGCCCAUCAGUAUUACCUCAAGAUGAUUCGGAGCAAAGGCUUUCUGGUUAAAAUGUGAUGAAGUCUAAAAUCAAAAUGGCAGAGAGCCGAGAACACUUCAGGUGGAACAUAAGUUCGCUUAUAAGAGGAUGAAAAGGACCAUCUUUAUGAGCAUCUUGCAGGGAGCUGGGAGGACACAUGCUGGCUGGUGCCUAUCAUUCUCUACAUCUUAACUUAAUUCUGAAGCAUGAAUUUCAGCUGAAAGGAGGCUCGAACUUUAUUCUUUUUUUUCAAACAGAAACACAAUAGAAUUUAUUUCCUUUCUUUUUGCUGAGGGAGAAACAGUCUCCUGGUAGGGGAGUAGUAUUUUCAAAAGCUUCUUAGGUGUCUUUAAAAACAAGGAGACAACUGAAUUGUAAGUGCUGCCUUUUCUCUUAAUAAACUUCAUCCAGACAGUCAGCACAUCA
This is a long non-coding RNA of Sapajus apella (tufted capuchin), 709 nucleotides long. RefSeq lists it as uncharacterized. The transcript has 2 exons. Lineage: Eukaryota; Metazoa; Chordata; Mammalia; Primates; Cebidae. The record is from RefSeq and is a predicted model, not a curated record.